This 827-nucleotide long non-coding RNA is filed under the name Homo sapiens (human). RNAcentral's name for it is "novel transcript". The record is from RNAcentral. Lineage: Eukaryota; Metazoa; Chordata; Mammalia; Primates; Hominidae.
AGCCUAGGCUGGCUGCCUGAGAGUAGCGAGUGACAGGUAAGGGCUCUGAACCUUCCUGCGUGCUACCCAAGGAGUGCCUAGGGCUACCAGGAGGCCCAGGGAGGAACCUUGAGACCUGAGAAAGGCUUUUCUUCCCCGAGAGGACCACUGCUCAGGCUCAGAGGCCAUGGGGUGAAGUGCACAAAAAAGUGGGCGUCCAGCCAUGCUCUAAGUCCCCCGAAGAUGAAGACCAGGGAGCAGCUUCCUCCAAUGAAGCAGCAGCAAUCAGAGGACCAGGAGGCUGAAGCCCUGAGCCCAGCCAGAGGCAGGAUCAGCCAAGUCUGGGACAGGCUUCAAUUAUUUUAGGCAGAGCUUCUGGUUCCUGGGCCUUCAGACUUGGACUAGAACUUCACUACCAGCUUUCCUGGGUCUCCAGCUUGCAGAGAGCAGAUCGCAGAACUUCUUAGCCUCCAUAAUCACCUCCCGCCCCCACCCAGGCCUGCUCAGAAGAACCCAAGCCACUCAGAAGCAGGAGGCAGCCUUCACCCCAACCAGACCAAUAUCCGUUCCAGACUCAGGAUUACAACAAUCUGGGAGAGGGUCAACCAAGUCAGAGUCCCACAUGGCAGAAGAGCUGCUUUAGCUUAAGACUCUUAACUCUUUUUCUUCGGGGCAGGAAAGGUUUGAGCCAAUGAAGGAUGAGGCUUUCCAGGCCCAGGACACAACCUUGAUCCAAGGCCUAGUUGUGGCUUUAAUUUUUGUAAAUCAAGCCUCAAGUUUUUCUUCACUCUUUUAGCCAAAGAUAUGUUUCCCAGGAUGCAUGAAAUAAAUAAAUAAAAUGUACCAAA